This 1307-nucleotide ribosomal RNA is filed under the name metagenome. RNAcentral's name for it is "bacterial LSU rRNA". It matches the Rfam family "Bacterial large subunit ribosomal RNA", at positions 1614 to 2912 of the family's 2925-position model. The record is from RNAcentral.
AAAGCUUCAGAUAAUAAGGAACCGUACCCCAAACCGACACAGGUGGACAGGAUGAGUAUUCCAAGGCGCUUGAGAGAACUCGGGUGAAGGAACUAGGCAAAAUAGCACCGUAACUUCGGGAGAAGGUGUGCCCCUCGUGGUCAAGUCCUCGCGACGUAAGCUACUGGGGGUUGCAAUAAAAUGGUGGCUGCGACUGUUUAAUAAAAACACAGCACUCUGCAAACACGAAAGUGGACGUAUAGGGUGUGACGCCUGCCCGGUGCUGGAAGGUUAAUUGAUGGGGUUAGCGUAAGCGAAGCUCUUGAUCGAAGCCCCAGUAAACGGCGGCCGUAACGAUAACGGUCCUAAGGUAGCGAAAUUCCUUGUCGGGUAAGUUCCGACCUGCACGAAUGGCGUAACGAUGGCCACUCUGUCUCCACCCGAGACUCAGUGAAAUUGAAUUUGCGGUGAAGAUGCCGUAUACCCGCGGCUAGACGGAAAGACCCCGUGAACCUUUACUGUAGCUUUACACUGAAUUUUGAACCUGUCUGUGUAGGAUAGGUGGGAGGCUUUGAAACCUUAACGCCAGUUUCGGUGGAGCCAUCCUUGAAAUACCACCCUGAUAUGUUCGGGAUUCUAACCUGCUUCUGUUAUCCAGAAGAGGGACAGUGUAUGGUGGGCAGUUUGACUGGGGCGGUCUCCUCCCAAAGAGUAACGGAGGAGCACGAAGGUACCCUCAGCGCGGUCGGAAAUCGCGCAUUGAGUGCAAAGGCAUAAGGGUGCUUGACUGUGAGACUGACACGUCGAACAGGUACGAAAGUAGGUCUUAGUGAUCCGGUGGUUCUGUAUGGAAGGACCAUCGCUCAACGGAUAAAAGGUACUCCGGGGAUAACAGGCUGAUUCCUCCCAAGAGUUCACAUCGACGGAGGAGUUUGGCACCUCGAUGUCGGCUCAUCACAUCCUGGGGCUGUAGUCGGUCCCAAGGGUAUGGCUGUUCGCCAUUUAAAGUGGUACGCGAGCUGGGUUUAGAACGUCGUGAGACAGUUCGGUCCCUAUCUGCCGUGGGCGUUGGAAAUUUGAGAAGAGUUGUCCUUAGUACGAGAGGACCGGGAUGAACGUAUCUCUGGUGUUCCAGUUGUCAUGCCAAUGGCAUUGCUGGGUAGCUAUGUACGGACGGGAUAACCGCUGAAAGCAUCUAAGCGGGAAGCCUCCUUCAAGAUUAGAUUUCCCAGACGUAAGUCUCUUAAGGUCCGUCGAAGACUACGACGUUGAUAGGUUGGGUGUGGAAACGCAGUAAUGUGUGUAGCUAACCAAUACUAAUUAACCGU